This 479-nucleotide ribosomal RNA is filed under the name uncultured bacterium. Its description in RNAcentral is "bacterial SSU rRNA". It matches the Rfam family "Bacterial small subunit ribosomal RNA", at positions 28 to 507 of the family's 1533-position model. The record is from RNAcentral.
GACGAACGCUGGCGGCGUGCUUAACACAUGCAAGUCGAACGGAGUUCCUUGGAUAGAGGCUUCGGCCAAUUGAAAUGGAACUUAGUGGCGGACUGGUGAGUAACGCGUGAGGAACCUGCCUUUCAGAGGGGGACAACAGUUGGAAACGACUGCUAAUACCGCAUGACACAUUCGGAUGGCAUCACCUGAAUGUCAAAGAUUUUAUCGCUGAAAGAUGGCCUCGCGUCUGAUUAGCUAGUUGGUGAGGUAACGGCCCACCAAGGCGACGAUCAGUAGCCGGACUGAGAGGUUGACCGGCCACAUUGGGACUGAGAUACGGCCCAGACUCCUACGGGAGGCAGCAGUGGGGAAUAUUGGGCAAUGGACGCAAGUCUGACCCAGCAACGCCGCGUGAAGGAAGAAGGCUUUCGGGUUGUAAACUUCUUUUCUUAAGGACGAUAGUGACGGUACUUAAGGAAUAAGCCACGGCUAACUACGUG